CGACGCCGCGUGUGGGAAGACAGGGCUCUGCCCCGUAAACCACUGUCAGUAGGGACGAAAAGCCUCCUUGGGGGGCUGGGACGGUACCUGCAGAGGAAGGAUCGGCUAACUACGUGCCAGCAGCCGCGGUAAUACGUAGGAUCCAAGCGUUGUCCGGAUUUACUGGGUGUAAAGGGUGCGCGGGUGGACUCGUGCGUCAGGGGUUAAAUGUCACGGCUCAACCGUGAACCUGCCUCUGAUACGGCGAGUCUUGAGUGCGAGAGAGGAUGGUAGAAUUCCUGGUGUAGCGGUGAAAUGCGUAGAUAUCAGGAGGAAUACCAGUGGCGAAGGCGGCCAUCUGGCUCGCAACUGACACUUAGGCACGAAAGCGUGGGGAGCGAACAGGAUUAGAUACCCUGGUAGUCCACGCCCUAAACGAUGUAUGCUUGGUGUUGGGAUCGCAAGAUCUCAGUGCCGGAGGUAACCC
This 466-nucleotide ribosomal RNA is filed under the name uncultured bacterium. RNAcentral's name for it is "bacterial SSU rRNA". It matches the Rfam family "Bacterial small subunit ribosomal RNA", at positions 392 to 858 of the family's 1533-position model. The record is from RNAcentral.